Molecule: transfer RNA, 74 nt
Filed under: Gemmatimonadota bacterium
Lineage: Bacteria; Pseudomonadati; Gemmatimonadota
Also listed under: 3 other names
Description: tRNA-Pro
Rfam family: tRNA
About the family: Transfer RNA (tRNA) molecules are approximately 80 nucleotides in length. Their secondary structure includes four short double-helical elements and three loops (D, anti-codon, and T loops). Further hydrogen bonds mediate the characteristic L-shaped molecular structure. tRNAs have two regions of fundamental functional importance: the anti-codon, which is responsible for specific mRNA codon recognition, and the 3' end, to which the tRNAs corresponding amino acid is attached (by aminoacyl-tRNA synthetases). tRNAs cope with the degeneracy of the genetic code in two manners: having more than one tRNA (with a specific anti-codon) for a particular amino acid; and 'wobble' base-pairing, i.e. permitting non-standard base-pairing at the 3rd anti-codon position.
Source: RNAcentral
CGGGACGUAGCGCAGCCCGGUAGCGCACCUGAAUGGGGUUCAGGGGGUCGCCGGUUCAAAUCCGGCCGUCCCGA